Pteronotus mesoamericanus is the source of this 637-nucleotide long non-coding RNA. RefSeq lists it as uncharacterized. Lineage: Eukaryota; Metazoa; Chordata; Mammalia; Chiroptera; Mormoopidae. The transcript has 3 exons. The record is from RefSeq and is a predicted model, not a curated record.
GUGGCCGGAGCCUCUCCAGGCCUCGCUCUCCUCAUCUGUAAAGCGAGGGGCGUGCUCUCAGGAGGCCCAGGGGCUGGCUCCGCGUGGACCCCACACCCUUCAAAAGCCCGCACGCGCGGGUUGGCCUUCCCGGGGCAUAAAGAGAGGAGCCCAGGACCCGCUGCAAGGUGGGAGGGGAAAGCCAAGAUCAGCGGAUGGACUGGCCCGCACUUAAAUCCAGCGGCUCCUGCAGUGACCUGGGAAAGCCACCUAGUGCCUCUGACUUCCAGUUUCCUCUGCUAGUAGAUGGCUUCUUAAGGUCAAGCUCGUGUUGUCUAGCACUUUGCCCAGAACUCAGAAUCCCUUCUUCAGAGGAAAAGAAGCGAGCCUGCCACAGAGCUUAUUUAUGAAACAAACGCAGAGCUAUUUGGAGCAACCGUCUCCAGGAACCCCUCCAGCCCACCCUGUGUCACAGGCAUCAAGCCUGCGGGGAGGAGGCGUCUGGAAGGUGAACCUGCACACAGGGCGGUGUGAGAGGAGCUCCCCCUUUGCUUCUUGUUCCUCCACCCGCCUGAGGAGGGAAAACUGAAGACGCAAGAGAGAGCAGAGGAGGAGACUAAGCAUUUUCUUUUCAAUUAACUAUGUUCUGACCACACAA